CCCUUAGAUGUUCUGGGCCGCACACGCGCUACACUGGCAGGUUCAUCGAGCUUCAUGCCCUGAUCUGAGAAGAACGGGAAAUCUUUGAACACCUGCCGUGCUUGGGAUAGAUGUUUGCAAUUAUUCAUCUUCAACGAGGAUUGCCUUGUAAGCGCACGUCAUCAGCGUGCAUUGAAUACGACCCUGUAUUCUGUACACACCGCCCGUCGCUCCUACCGAUUGAAGUUUUCGGUGAAUUUACUGGAGAUCCCUUUUGAAGGUGGUUCGCCACUGGAAGAAGUAUGCAAAAGUAAAUGAAUCGAAUGCUUUAGAGGAAGGAGAAGUCGUAACA
This 331-nucleotide ribosomal RNA is filed under the name uncultured eukaryote. Its description in RNAcentral is "partial 18S ribosomal RNA". It matches the Rfam family "Eukaryotic small subunit ribosomal RNA", at positions 1470 to 1796 of the family's 1831-position model. The record is from RNAcentral.